Long non-coding RNA from Anser cygnoides (Swan goose), 2245 nucleotides. Lineage: Eukaryota; Metazoa; Chordata; Aves; Anseriformes; Anatidae. The record is from Ensembl.
CCCAGGUCAUAGGCACGGACUACGCUGGAAACUUGCAAAAAAAGUGGAUGCCAGCGUGGGCACUGAGUUGGUUGGUGGAUUGUGUUAGUUUGUUUUGCCUGUCAGGCAGGCUUUGCAAGCACCUUGCAACAGCGGAGUACAUCUCUUGCCACGUUCCUGAGGCAUGCCAGAUGUCAUCAGUUCCAGUUUCUGAAAUGCUGGAGAUGCUCAGAGCGCAAGAGGAGCUGGAGCGUGAUGCAUCUCUUUGGGAUGUUAGCUACGUGACCUUGGCUUGGCACGGCGAAUGGAAGCACUAAGCCUGGAUCGGAAGGUAAAGUGGAGCCUCGCGCAUGAAGCAAUGUCCUGGCUAGCUUUUGUGCUCCUUGUUGAGGAUGGAACCUGCCUCCCAUCAUUCCCAAGCUAAGUUGGGGGGCAAGUGCUAUGUUUGGUUUGGUGUUGUGAAUGGACCCAUAGGGUGAGGGUCUGUGCUUUUAAGUCAUUGCAGCGGAUGGGGCCUUUCAGGAUUGAGCACGGUCAGACGGAGAGGGGGGUGGGGGUUCUGUCAGGUAGGGCUUGAGCAUGUGCCAGGCAGGGCAGUUCCAGCUUGGUGCCUGUGUUCUGUGUUGUCUGUGCUGUGGCUCUUGGUGCUCAGUAGGCCCUGGGGAAGCCAUCCUGAGGGUAUUGAACACUUGACCUCAUUGGAAUAAUGCUGAUGCUCAAUUGGAAGCUGAGCAACUCUUGUCUUGCAGUGGGAGCUUAAAGAGCUCACUACUUCUGUGUGUGUAAUUUUUAUUUUGUAUCAAAUGUUUCCUGAUACGAUCAUCAUAUGUUACGCACCCCUCAGGUCUUGAUAUCCUCAUUGCCUUCUUCCACUGGACAGAUUAGAUGGGCAACUUGGUAGCCACACCAAAGGUCCUAAAUGCUUGUUUCAUCAUGGUAGGGCUGAUCUGAGCACUUUUUGACUUGCAGUCGCAGCUUAAAGUGCAGAUGUGUUUCAGGUGUUGCGCAUCAUAUUUGGUUUCAGAUUGCAUCUGUUUCCAUUGUUGCUGUUGUGGAAGUCAUGUGGGCUUCAUCCGGAGCUCUGGCUUUGGAAUUCAUUUCCAAAGCUUUUUUUCUUAAGGGGUUUACACUCCCCAUCCUUCCGGUCUCUGUCUUAAAGGCAGGCUUUUUAUGCCUCCAUCAUCCCAGUUCUGGCAGUUGCUUCCAGUUGCAGGUCAUGACAUUGGAGUCUCUCCUUGUGUCUGCUGCAGAGCACCUGUUCUGACUUGCUGUUGCCAUAGGGCUUCCCUCUGGGAGUCUUUUUUUUUUGUUGUUGUUCUGUGUUUUGUUUGUAGUGUGCCUGUGUGUGUGUGUGUUUGGCCUGGAGCUGUCCUGCCUGGCAGUUAGUGAUGGUAACUAACGUGGCGGUCCAUCGGUGUACUAAUACAUUGUCUGGACUGUUUUGGCAAAGACAUCCAGUCUGCCUCUGGGCACGUACUGAAGGGCAGCUGGCACAGUCAUCUCAGUGGUGUUUGCAGAUGUGGAAGGGGAGACUCGAGCUGCUUGCGAGCAGCUGUUCGCAUAGUGCUUGAACAGUGUGCUGGAAGAGGUCUGUUGAAUCUUGAAAGCUUGCAGAUAUGGGGUUUUGAAUUUCUUAUCUUUUUCUUUUCCCUCCCUAGUAGAGGGUAAACCUUAGGAGGAACCAGUCAAAGGAAAGAGCGCCUUCUGGAACUGUCAAGCACUUGGUAGGCAACCUGGUGACCCUAACCUGGGUUAGGGUUGUGGUUAGAGUUGUUUGGGUUAAGGGGAAUAAGGAUUUUAGGGUAAGGGGAUCAAGGUUGUGGGGAUAAAAAUGCUGUUUUUGCACAGAGUUCCAUCGUUUAGAGGGAAGGAAGGUGGUAUUGAGAGAUGCUUGCAGUGAUAAGAAAGCUGAACAGACAACCUUGUAAAAUACAGACAACCAGAAUCCUUAGAGCAAUUACAUGGAAAUCACAGUGUAAGAACCAUUACCACCUCAAAGAGGAAAAAAGUCAAGAAAAAAAGCAAGUUGACUUGUAACAGGCCAGCAGCUGUGUAUUUUCCAUGAAGCACUGGAUAGAUUGUGAACAUGGAUUACCCAGUCAAUGGGGAAACUGGGGAGGGUCCCGGUCAUCGAGAAGAGGAAAAAAAAAAAAAGGUAUAUAAAGUAUAUAAAUAGUUAGUGUUAUGGAGCUAGUAGGUGGCUUGUGGGAUGCCUGCCAUUGCAAUUGCGAAUAAAAAUGCUACCUCACUGAGAUCCUUGCCUGAG